This 202-nucleotide long non-coding RNA is filed under the name Elaeis guineensis (African oil palm). Its description in RNAcentral is "long non-coding RNA (EGUI_LNC001042)". Lineage: Eukaryota; Viridiplantae; Streptophyta; Magnoliopsida; Arecales; Arecaceae. The record is from RNAcentral.
GAUUAGAGAGAAGAAAGAUGCCCAUGGGAAAUUUUCUGAUCUUAUUUCUAAUUAUAUUUUUGAAUGUUUUCUCUUUCACCUUAGCUAGAGCUUGGGCAACUUUUAAUUAAUGUAAGUGCACCCUUAGAGGCAACAUCAUAUUAUUAUCUCUUGUGAGUUGCAGCUGCAGCCAUGUAUUGUUCUCUGUAAUGAUAACAACGUA